Neofelis nebulosa (Clouded leopard) is the source of this 299-nucleotide long non-coding RNA. RefSeq lists it as uncharacterized. The record is from RefSeq and is a predicted model, not a curated record. Lineage: Eukaryota; Metazoa; Chordata; Mammalia; Carnivora; Felidae. The transcript is spliced from 2 exons.
CUGGGCUCUGGGCGCCACCUGACCUGAGCGCAUCUCAGAGGGUCGACGACAGCCAGCUUCUGUGUAACUAAGCUGGGCCAUCUUCAGCUCAGACCGGGUCUGGCCAACGAACAACACCAUGGCACGUAACACCAGCGCGCCUCUCCCAGGAUGGCAUCAACCCCCCUCAGCAGCCUCUGCUCCAGGUUGUUGAAUGGCUUCCAGCCCACUGGACCCAACCCACACCCAGGCAGAAGAAGGGAUGUAAUCAACCGAGGCAGACACCAGUGACACUGAAAAAACAGAAAGUAACUAUUCUG